RNAcentral lists this non-coding RNA (29 nucleotides) under Rattus norvegicus (Norway rat). Lineage: Eukaryota; Metazoa; Chordata; Mammalia; Rodentia; Muridae. The record is from RNAcentral.
AAUGCUAGCAGGAAACAUUGAAUUGUGUA